This 331-nucleotide unclassified non-coding RNA is filed under the name soil metagenome. Its description in RNAcentral is "partial contains 5.8S ribosomal RNA, internal transcribed spacer 2, and large subunit ribosomal RNA". The stretch from base 1 to 120 matches the Rfam family "5.8S ribosomal RNA", at positions 35 to 154 of the family's 154-position model. The record is from RNAcentral.
GAUGAAGAACGCAGCGAAAUGCGAUAAGUAAUGUGAAUUACAGAAUUCAGUGAAUCAUCGAAUCUUUGAACGCACAUUGCGCCCCCUGGUAUUCCGGGGGGCAUGCCUGUUCGAGCGUCAUUUCACCACUCAAGCCUCGCUUGGUAUUGGGCAACGCGGUCCGCCGCGUGCCUCAAAUCGUCCGGCUGGGUCUUCUGUCCCCUAAGCGUUGUGGAAACUAUUCGCUAAAGGGUGUUCGGGAGGCUACGCCGUAAAACAACCCCAUUUCUAAGGUUGACCUCGGAUCAGGUAGGGAUACCCGCUGAACUUAAGCAUAUCAAUAAGCGGAGGA